AAGAUUUGAUAUCCAAUUAUAUACUAUACUAGAUAAGGCCCGUCUAUUUAAAAACAUAUU
RNAcentral lists this small RNA (60 nucleotides) under Arabidopsis thaliana (thale cress). Its description in RNAcentral is "ATSL053590". The record is from RNAcentral. Lineage: Eukaryota; Viridiplantae; Streptophyta; Magnoliopsida; Brassicales; Brassicaceae.